RNAcentral lists this transfer RNA (73 nucleotides) under Papurana kreffti (San Cristobal treefrog). Its description in RNAcentral is "tRNA-Leu". It matches the Rfam family "tRNA". Rfam says of the family: Transfer RNA (tRNA) molecules are approximately 80 nucleotides in length. Their secondary structure includes four short double-helical elements and three loops (D, anti-codon, and T loops). Lineage: Eukaryota; Metazoa; Chordata; Amphibia; Anura; Ranidae. The record is from RNAcentral.
GUUAGUGUGGCAGAGUUUGGUUAUGCAUAAGACCUAAGACCUUAAAACCGGGGUUCAAAUCCCCUCACUAACU